Molecule: ribosomal RNA, 440 nt
Filed under: uncultured bacterium
Lineage: Bacteria
Description: partial 16S ribosomal RNA
Rfam family: Bacterial small subunit ribosomal RNA
Source: RNAcentral
CCUACGGGAGGCAGCAGUGGGGAAUAUUGCACAAUGGGGGAAACCCUGAUGCAGCGACGCCGCGUGAGUGAAGAAGUAAUUCGUUAUGUAAAGCUCUAUCAGCAGGGAAGAAAAUGACGGUACCUGAGUAAGAAGCCCCGGCUAACUACGUGCCAGCAGCCGCGGUCAGACGGAGGGGGCAAGCGUUAUCCGGAUUUAAUGGGUGGAAAGGGAGCGUGGACGGCAGUGCAAGUCUGGAGUGAAAGGCGGGGGCUCAACCCCCGGACUGCUCUGGAAACUGUACGGCUGGAGUGCAGGAGAGGUAAGUGGAAUUCCUAGUGUAGCGGUGAAAUGCGUAGAUAUUAGGAGGAACACCAGUGGCGAAGGCGGCUUACUGGACUGUAACUGACGUUGAGGCUCGAAAGCGUGGGGAGCAAACAGGAUUAGAUACCCUGGUAGUC